This 72-nucleotide transfer RNA is filed under the name Bacteroidota bacterium. RNAcentral's name for it is "tRNA-Gln". It matches the Rfam family "tRNA". Rfam says of the family: Transfer RNA (tRNA) molecules are approximately 80 nucleotides in length. Their secondary structure includes four short double-helical elements and three loops (D, anti-codon, and T loops). Further hydrogen bonds mediate the characteristic L-shaped molecular structure. tRNAs have two regions of fundamental functional importance: the anti-codon, which is responsible for specific mRNA codon recognition, and the 3' end, to which the tRNAs corresponding amino acid is attached (by aminoacyl-tRNA synthetases). tRNAs cope with the degeneracy of the genetic code in two manners: having more than one tRNA (with a specific anti-codon) for a particular amino acid; and 'wobble' base-pairing, i.e. permitting non-standard base-pairing at the 3rd anti-codon position. RNAcentral also lists the same sequence under 1 other name. The record is from RNAcentral. Lineage: Bacteria; Pseudomonadati; Bacteroidota.
UGACCCAUGGUGUAAUGGCAACACGUCAGGUUUUGGUCCUGAAGAGUCCAGGUUCGAACCCUGGUGGGUCAG